Molecule: transfer RNA, 363 nt
Filed under: uncultured Microcystis sp.
Lineage: Bacteria; Bacillati; Cyanobacteriota; Cyanophyceae; Chroococcales; Microcystaceae
Description: partial 16S-23S ribosomal RNA intergenic spacer
Rfam family: tRNA (bases 135-208)
Source: RNAcentral
AAGGGAGACCUAAUUCGGGUAGGAGACGAAAAAAAAGUAGUCGCUACCAAGAAUCAAUCCCAAAAGGUCGGAGCGAGGCGAAAUUGGCUUUCAAACUAGGUUCUGGGUUCACACAAGACCUGAAUCAGGAACAAGGGCUAUUAGCUCAGGUGGUUAGAGCGCACCCCUGAUAAGGGUGAGGUCCCUGGUUCGAGUCCAGGAUGGCCCACCUGUACAGGUGGCCAAAACCAAGAAAAGAAGCGAGGAAUCAGCACCUGCUCUUACCUACAUAGUAAGAGAGAAUGCCGGCUCUGAGUACAGAGUCCAGAGGAACCUUGAAAACUGCAUAGAGCUAGGUGAAAAAGCCAAAAAAGAAGACCGCAA